CAGCUUCGGGAGCACGUUUGCAGCGUUCCAACUUACGAAGAACAAGGGCAUCAGUUGCUUCGUUCUUUCUUGGUCUGCCACAUCUCCUUUUCUUGUUGGGGGCAGCUUUGGGAGCACAGUUGAAGGACUUGGACUGAUGAAGGUGAAGAGAAUCGAUUUCGUUCUCCGCCGAUGUGCCUUGUUUAGAGGUGUCAGCUCCCUGAUGUUUACGGAUAAGUGCCAUUUUCCUUCUUACGUAACACAACGGUCCAAAGGUCACCAGAAGGGCUCUUCAGAGUUGCUUUGUCAGCCGCUUCAUUCACUAGAUGGUUCAUAAAGUGCGGUGGGAUUUCCUGCAAGUAAUGAUUGCAAAGAAAGGAGGAGAAGAUAGAAAUUGACAGCUUCUGAAUAAAGUGAACACACAAACAUAAAGCGAAAAGAGGAAGAUCUAACUUACCAACUCCACACUUGCUGAACCUUUGAUAAUCUUGUAGAAGGAAGGUCCAUCAUCCGCAAACACACUCUUGAAAUUUUUUCUCACUGGUACCAACUCCAUGGUUGAUGUUGCAUGUGAGCUUCAGAGGGUUUUGGGAGGAGGCAGGGAUGAAUAUAUAUGUAUGAUGAGUUGUCAAGGCAGCUUAGGAAGAGGGACAGAACAGGCUUAUGUAGCAAGCGUGUUGCCAAGUGUUGAAUAUAUAUACAUGUGUAAUGUAUAAACUAGUGAUGGGUGUAAAUGCGACGUGUUUGUAAUUUCAUAUUUUAAAUUUUGAAUUCUUUGAUGAUUGAGGGGUAAUUUGAUGAAUGAGGAAAAUUAUUUAGUUA
Molecule: non-coding RNA, 801 nt
Organism: Camellia sinensis
Lineage: Eukaryota; Viridiplantae; Streptophyta; Magnoliopsida; Ericales; Theaceae
Source: RefSeq, a predicted model, not a curated record